This 293-nucleotide ribosomal RNA is filed under the name uncultured Pseudomonas sp. RNAcentral describes it as "partial 16S ribosomal RNA". It matches the Rfam family "Bacterial small subunit ribosomal RNA", at positions 1085 to 1382 of the family's 1533-position model. Lineage: Bacteria; Pseudomonadati; Pseudomonadota; Gammaproteobacteria; Pseudomonadales; Pseudomonadaceae. The record is from RNAcentral.
UCCCGUAACGAGCGCAACCCUUGUCCUUAGUUACCAGCACGUUAUGGUGGCACUCUAGGAGACUGCCGGUGACAACCGAGGAAGUGGGGAUGACGUCAAGUCAUCAUGGCCCUUACGGCCUGGGCUACACACGUGCUACAAUGGUCGGUACAAAGGGUUGCCAAGCCGCGAGGUGGAGCUAAUCCCAUAAAACCGAUCGUAGUCCGGAUCGCAGUCUGCAACUCGACUGCGUGAAGUCGGAAUCGCUAGUAAUCGUGAAUCAGAAUGUCACGGUGAAUACGUUCCCGGGCCUU